Molecule: ribosomal RNA, 1248 nt
Filed under: metagenome
Description: bacterial LSU rRNA
Rfam family: Bacterial large subunit ribosomal RNA
Source: RNAcentral
UAUACGACCGUACCGCAAACCGACACUGGUGCGCGAGAUGAGUAUUCUAAGGCGCUUGAGAGAACUCAGGAGAAGGAACUCGGCAAAUUGACACCGUAACUUCGGAAGAAGGUGUGCCCUAGUAUUGUGAAGUGAACAACGGAGCAAGAAAGGGUUGCAAAAAAUCGGUGGCUGCGACUGUUUAUUAAAAACACAGCACUCUGCAAACACGAAAGUGGACGUAUAGGGUGUGACGCCUGCCCGGUGCUGGAAGAUUAAAUGAUGGGGUGCAAGCUCUUGAUUGAAGUCCCAGUAAACGGCGGCCGUAACAAUAACGGUCCUAAGGUAGCGAAAUUCCUUGUCGGGUAAGUUCCGACCUGCACGAAUGGCGUAACGAUGGCCACACUGUCUCCUCCUGAGACUCAGCGAAGUCGAAAUGUUUGUGAUGAUGCAAUCUCCCCGCGGAAAGACGGAAAGACCCCAUGAACCUUUACUGUAGCUUUGUAUUGGACUUUGAACAGAUCUGUGUAGGAUAGGUGGGAGGCUUUGAAGCAGGGUCGCUAGAUCUUGUGGAGCCAACGUUGAAAUACCACCCUGGUGUGUUUGAGGUUCUAACCUAGGUCCAUUAUCUGGAUCGGGGACAGUGCAUGGUAGGCAGUUUGACUGGGGCGGUCUCCUCCCAAAGCGUAACGGAGGAGUUCGAAGGUACGCUAGUUACGGUCGGACAUCGUGACGAUAGUGCAAUGGCAUAAGCGUGCUUAACUGCGAGACUGACAAGUCGAGCAGAUGCGAAAGCAGGACAUAGUGAUCCGGUGGUUCUGUAUGGAAGGGCCAUCGCUCAACGGAUAAAAGGUACUCUGGGGAUAACAGGCUGAUACCGCCCAAGAGUUCAUAUCGACGGCGGUGUUUGGCACCUCGAUGUCGGCUCAUCUCAUCCUGGGGCUGUAGCCGGUCCCAAGGGUAUGGCUGUUCGCCAUUUAAAGAGGUACGUGAGCUGGGUUUAAAACGUCGUGAGACAGUUUGGUCCCUAUCUUCCGUGGGCGCUGCAGAUUUGAGGAAGCCUGCUCCUAGUACGAGAGGACCGGAGUGGACACACCUCUGGUGUAUCGGUUGUCACGCCAGUGGCAUUGCCGAGUAGCUAAGUGUGGAAGAGAUAACCGCUGAAAGCAUCUGGGCGGGAAACUCGUUUCAAGAUGAGAUCUGCCGGGGCCUUGAGCCCCCUAAAGAGUCGUUCAAGACCAGGACGUUGAUAGGUCAGGUGUGGAAGUG